RNAcentral lists this ribosomal RNA (301 nucleotides) under uncultured bacterium. Its description in RNAcentral is "partial 16S ribosomal RNA". It matches the Rfam family "Bacterial small subunit ribosomal RNA", at positions 509 to 807 of the family's 1533-position model. The record is from RNAcentral.
CAGUCGCCGCGGUAAUACGGAGGGGGCUAGCGUUGUUCGGAAUUACUGGGCGUAAAGCGCGCGUAGGUGGUUUGUUAAGUUGGAUGUGAAAGCCCCGGGCUCAACCUGGGAACUGCAUCCAAAACUGGCAAGCUAGAGUACGGUAGAGGGUGGUGGAAUUUCCUGUGUAGCGGUGAAAUGCGUAGAUAUAGGAAGGAACACCAGUGGCGAAGGCGACCACCUGGACUGAUACUGACACUGAGGUGCGAAAGCGUGGGGAGCAAACAGGAUUAGAGACCCCCGUAGUCCCUGUCUCUUAUAC